RNAcentral lists this long non-coding RNA (1977 nucleotides) under Mytilus galloprovincialis (Mediterranean mussel). Lineage: Eukaryota; Metazoa; Mollusca; Bivalvia; Mytilida; Mytilidae. The record is from RNAcentral.
UUGAAAAGAGUGUAUAUAUUCAUAUGAGAAGUUAGGUUUGAACUCCCUAUAUUAUUUUUCAUUAAAUUUUAUUUUAUCAUUCUAAAUUACGUCAAAUACCAUAUGGAAAAAUUAAAUUAUUUAAUGCCCAAAAAGGGGCAAGCCAGGGCAGAUUGUGCAAGGGCUGUAUAGCCAGUAAAAGUCGUUAAAAACUUCCAUUUGUUUGUUUGAACUCGGUUUAGGUCGUUAAAAACUUCCAUUUGUUUGUUUGAACAUGUUCAAGUGGAAACCUUUUGGGUAUGUGCUCAUUCUUAUUAAUUGAAAGGAAUAUAUAAAUAAAGGAACUUAUGUCGGAAAAACAGUAACUGUGGUAAUAAUAUUAUACAAUUUCCUUUAGUCUGAUUAUUGUGGAUAUAUUAUUAUUUAUGGGGUACAAAUUUUCGUGUGAAUUGAUAAACCAUGUAUUUAAAUUACAACAAAGUACAAAAAUUGUAUACUUUUAAGCCUUUAUAAACAAGACCAGGAAAUAAAAUAUCCACAAAUUCAAAUUAUUUUUUUCCUUAAUCAAUAAACGUGAAUAAAUCUACAGUAUUUCAGAUUUCAAAUAGAUAAGCUGGUAAUACUAUUGAGGAAAAUUUGUUCUGAUUGUGAUUUUUUUGUACAAAAGGGUUUAGUGGAUGUACAUACACACAUUUUUUUAUUCCUUUAUGUCAUUAGUGCUGUAUCUUCCUAAAUGUGAUAAGUUUUUCUGUAUUAGUACUAGGCACCUUGAGAAUUUUAUUAUAUAUAUAUAUAAUCUAUGCAUUGUAAAAAAUAUCACCCUUAAUUGUAAAUAUUUUUUCCUUAAAAAUUUACAAAUGUUAAGUUUGCGAGAGAUUUAUGAGAGGUUCUGACAUUUUGUGUUAUUUAUAUUCCAUUGCCUAUUUUUAUCCAUUGCUGAAACAUUCACAACAUUAUGAUGCUGUCUGGGUCAUGUCUGGAAGUAAUAAACAGUGUUGGUUUUUUGGUCAUUAAUAUAUAAGGCCAACAAUAUGUAUUAUUCUUUUUUCUUUUCCGUUGAAAAUUUUAACUGUUGGGAGUUAGAUCUCAACUUUCAAAUUAUAAUAGUUUGACGUAAUAUGAAUAUAUGAACCUAUAGCUAAGGAUUCGUGUUGAAGACCAAACUUUGACCUAUAAUGGUUUACUUUUACAAAUUGUGACUUGGAUGAGAGAGUUGGGUCUCUUGGCACUCAUACCACAUCUUCUUACAUCUACUAUACAUAUGGUUUAGAUGUAUUGGAUGAGAGAGUUGGGUCUCUUGGCACUCAAACCACAUCUUCUUAUAUCUACUAUACAUAUGGUUUAGACGUACAGCCAAUAUAUUGGGCAUUAUAUUCUGGGUAUUGUCUAUUGUCUAGUUUAGUCAGGGUUACCAAAGUUACUAUGUAGUUUACAUUUGUGUAAAAUCUUAUGAAUUAGUUGUCAAAAAUGUUCAGACUUGCAUAAUUAUUAAGAUUUCUGUUGAAUGUAUGAGUUCUUAUAGUCUUUCAUUUGAAUAUUAUGUUAAACGUGUCUUGAAGGUAUAAGAUUAUAUGUUGAAUGUGUCAUGAAGGUAUAAGAUUAUACGUUGAAUGUGUCAUGAAGGUAUAAGAUUAUAUGUUGAAUGUGUCAUUAUAUGUUGAAUGUGUCAUGAAGGUAUAAGAUUAUAUGUUGAAUGUGUCAUGAAGGUAUAAGAUUAUAUGUUGAAUGUGUAAUAAAUUGUGAGUAUGUGUCAUGAUAUGCUGUGUUUAUUUUAGUUGAAUGAUGUUUAGUUGAGUGAAAUGUGUCAUGAUUGGAGAUGUUUAUUUGAGUGGAAGUGUGUCAUGAUGGUCACUGUUUAUCUGUGUUAUGAUUUUGUGAUAUCUAUGAUUAUUUAUGAUUUUAUCAAAUGUCACAAUAAAAAGAAAUGAUGAUAAAUUUAUGUAUUUUUCUGGCCCAGACAAGUAAAUGCUGAAGAGAUGUUAGGUAUAUGAAUGUAUA